AGAUGUUAUUACAAUCACAAUUUCGUAAAUACAACACAUCUUUACCACUCUGAUUUCAUACAUACAUGCAUGAAGGAGGAAAACAUGCCUCGACACACCAACGGGUUUCAUAAUGAGCGUGUUCUGCGCCGUACAACAGAAUGACAUUAUAAAAGCUCAGAAUAAGUGAAACUUCCAUAUUAUCAGUUUAUUUGACAGAAAACGUGUACCAACUACAAGACAGUUGUUGGUAUAAAAAGCUUGUAGCCACUAAUCAUGUUGUGAGCAAUUAAAUCAUGUAAACUCCAUGGCUCCACUAACAAGAUUGCAUAGCUUGCCUUCAAGGACAGAGAAGGUGGAAUUAAGCAAUAUAGGUGAUAAAAUGUUUUUUGAACACUUAAUUGAAAGUUUGCUCUUGAACUUAGUAGUUGACAAGAUAAUCUCCACCACAAGAUCCAUUUAAUAGCUGCUCUGGAGGAAUCUAUCAAUCUCAAUUUCUAAGCAAACAUGGACAAGAAGUCCUUACAACUCUUCUCUCCAAGAGUUAGAUGAGAACAUCGAUACCACUUUCAUGUCUGGAUGCUUAAUAAGAAGCAAUAUAGCUACUGUAUCUUAACUUAACAUAUGGACAGCUAGUGUGGCUCAUGAAAAGUUUAGCACCCUAUCUUAUCUUUGGAUGAGUGUGACAUUUUUUCCUUCUAUCCACCUACCAACACUUCUAAAGCACACAAUUUGGCCCGGCAGUAGAUGGAUUUUUCUUUUUGUUAUCGUGGACAGAGGCAGGUUAAUGGUUUCCUCCUACUUCCAAUCUUUAUACUAAGCUAAGCUAAUCAGCUGCUGGCUGUUGCUUCAUGUUUAGCAGACAAACAUGGGAGUGCUAUCAAUCUUCUCAUCUAACUCUCAGCUAGAAAGCAUAUUUCUCAAAAUGUGCUGCGUUGUGUCAAAUGCCACAUGUAUUUUAUACAGCCCGAUGUCAUGAGAAGAAUAGCCAACAACAUGGAGGACAGAACAUGUCUGGACAGACCAACGGGUUUCAUAAUGAAUGUGCCCUGCAGCAUUAAAAAACUGACACUAUAAAAGGUCAGAAUAAGUCAGGGAUGUCAUGAGAUUGUCAUUGGCUCGUUGUAACACUCAGAGGGAGACAGAAAAUGUGUUCGUGCUAUGUUUUCACACUACAAAACUGAGAGUGUAAAAGGUCACAUGACCAGAGUUUACCGUGGCACUGUGGGUCAGAGCCAACAUGGAUGCAGAGGAAAGACCCCAAAAUAACCAUUCUGCACGUGGUCGAAGAGGCGCACACGUUUUCACGGUGUCUGCUGAUGAACAGAGAGAGAGAGAGAUAAAAUAAAUCUUCUAAAGACAUCGGUGUGAUGCAUGGCCAUUAUUUCAUUGGACCAGUGUAGCUACAAUUACUAUUAAAAGUUCAGGUGUUCAUCUUU
Long non-coding RNA from Thunnus maccoyii (southern bluefin tuna), 1418 nucleotides. RefSeq lists it as uncharacterized. The transcript is spliced from 3 exons. The record is from RefSeq and is a predicted model, not a curated record. Lineage: Eukaryota; Metazoa; Chordata; Actinopteri; Scombriformes; Scombridae.